UGAGAUAGUCACUUGUGUUAGAAAGCUGAUCUAUGCCUGGUGAUCUACUUUUUAUGUAUGGUUUUUAUGCUAAUUUUAUAAGAAAUUUAUUCCAUUCAAAUAUAAAAUAAAAAACUAAUAUUGAACAAAUAUCAAUUCAUUGAUAAUAGAAUGUUGUGCAUUAAAGUCAUAGUGAAUUGUAAUUACACAAUUUUCACUAAACUUUAUGUAAUCCUAGAGACUCAAUAUGAGAUAAGA
RNAcentral lists this long non-coding RNA (237 nucleotides) under Elaeis guineensis (African oil palm). RNAcentral's name for it is "long non-coding RNA (EGUI_LNC029417)". Lineage: Eukaryota; Viridiplantae; Streptophyta; Magnoliopsida; Arecales; Arecaceae. The record is from RNAcentral.